GCUAGAAGAUGACGAGUGGCGGACGGGUGAGUCAUGCUGGGGAACUUGCCUUUGGGAGGGGGAUAACCGUUGGAAACGACUGCUAAUACCGCAUAAUGUCUUCGGACCAAACGGGGGUUCGGCUCCGGCGCAAAGAGAGGUCCAAGUGAGAUUAUCUGGUUGGUAAGGUAACGGCUUACCAAGGCGACGAUCUCUAGCUGUUCUGAGAGGAAGACCAGCCACACUGGGACUGAGACACGGCCCACACUCCUACGGGAGGCAGCAGUGGGGAAUAUUGCACAAUGGGGGAAACCCUGAUGCAGCCAUGCCGCGUGUGUGAAGAAGGCCUUCGGGUUGUAAAGCACUUUCAGUUGUGAGGAAAAGUUAAUUUUUAAUACCUGCUACCCGUGACGUUAACAACAAAAGAAGCACCGGCUAACUCCGUGCCAGCAUGCGGGGUAAUACGGAGGGUGCGAGCGUUAAUCGGAAUUACUGGGCGUAAAGCGCACGCAGGCGGUUUGUU
RNAcentral lists this ribosomal RNA (502 nucleotides) under uncultured Alteromonas sp. RNAcentral's name for it is "bacterial SSU rRNA". It matches the Rfam family "Bacterial small subunit ribosomal RNA", at positions 79 to 584 of the family's 1533-position model. The record is from RNAcentral. Lineage: Bacteria; Pseudomonadati; Pseudomonadota; Gammaproteobacteria; Alteromonadales; Alteromonadaceae.